GGUUAUGAGGGAAAACAGGCAGUGACAUCUGUCAACACAUUGAUUUCCAGGGUUGAUACAGAUGGUCUGAGCUGAUCCCUGCUCUCCCUCACACCCCAUUUGUGUGCCUUCCAAAGCUACCUGCUCAUCUACAUGGAUGACCUUCUCAAAGAGGACCAGUCAUGAAGGGUAUUUAAAGGGUGAUUUAUUUGCUAUAAUUUCUAAACCUGUUU
This 212-nucleotide small RNA is filed under the name Bison bison bison. RNAcentral's name for it is "7SK RNA (ENSBBBG00000011934.1)". It matches the Rfam family "7SK RNA", at positions 1 to 235 of the family's 331-position model. Rfam says of the family: 7SK was discovered as an abundant small nuclear RNA in the mid-70s but a possible function has only recently been suggested. Two independent studies have found that 7SK RNA binds the CDK9/cyclin T complex (known as elongation factor P-TEFb). P-TEFb activates transcription by phosphorylating the C-terminal domain of RNA polymerase II. Lineage: Eukaryota; Metazoa; Chordata; Mammalia; Artiodactyla; Bovidae. The record is from RNAcentral.